This 298-nucleotide ribosomal RNA is filed under the name uncultured bacterium. RNAcentral's name for it is "partial 16S ribosomal RNA". It matches the Rfam family "Bacterial small subunit ribosomal RNA", at positions 475 to 776 of the family's 1533-position model. The record is from RNAcentral.
CUAUGCGCCUUGCCAGCCCGCUCAGGUGUGCCAGCCGCCGCGGUAAUACGGAGGAUGCGAGCGUUAUCCGGAUUUAUUGGGUUUAAAGGGUGCGUAGGCGGAAUAUCAAGUCAGCGGUAAAAAUUCGGGGCUCAACCCCGUCGUGCCGUUGAAACUGAUGUUCUUGAGUGGGCGAGAAGUAUGCGGAAUGCGUGGUGUAGCGGUGAAAUGCAUAGAUAUCACGCAGAACUCCGAUUGCGAAGGCAGCAUACCGGCGCCCAACUGACGCUGAAGCACGAAAGCGUGGGUAUCGAACAGG